RNAcentral lists this ribosomal RNA (1068 nucleotides) under Triticum aestivum (bread wheat). RNAcentral's name for it is "partial small subunit ribosomal RNA". The record is from RNAcentral. Lineage: Eukaryota; Viridiplantae; Streptophyta; Magnoliopsida; Poales; Poaceae.
AUGCACACUACCCAGAUAAUUGCUAGAUGUGCCCCAGUCAUCCCGUAUACUACUCAUAUAGUGGUCAGACACUACUCCUACACUAGCCAGACGAUGGCCAGACGCAAGACGGCAGUGACUGCGAGUGCGCCGGCCGUCGCCUGCGUGGCCCGCUCGUACGCUGCUCCGCCCCCUGCAUGUCUGCGCGCACUACCCUGCCGCUCUCCGCCGCUACAGCUGCCAGGCUCCACCGCGCUGGCCUCCUGCUCUAUCGCUGCUCUGCCAUGGCCGCCCUGCUGCACUGUCCUUCGGCAGGCGAGCUCAGGCCAGCGCUGCACCCUCGUUUUCCCCCAGCACCCGCUCGGCCCGGGCUUGCUGCUUCGCUCGGCCACCUCCGUCCGGCGCCGCAUCCCUCCGCCGUCCUCAACACCGGGUACUCCUGAGCGCCAAAUCCGGCCCCGCCUGGCCUCCGCCGGCUCCGACGCGGGCCGUGUGCGCCUCUCGUCUGCGCCCGCGCGUGGCCGGGUUCUCCAACCCCGCCGACUCCGCCUUGCCGCGCCCGCGCCGGGUGCUCCCCUUCUUGCGUGUCGGCCUCGCCGUUUGCCGUUGGCCGGGUCAGCCUCCACACGAACUGGCCGGCUCCGCCGCUCCCUCGCUGCAUGGUUGUUGCGUUCCGUCCGCCCGCUGAGCGCGCCUCCCACAUCCCGUCCGCCUGUUGGCCCCCGGCCGUGCCUGGCCGCUUCCGUCUCGCGCGCGCAGCGGGCCCCCUCCGUCGCGCCCGGCUCUGGUUGCGUCAUGCUUGCCCGGCCUCUCCAGCAGUCGCCUUCGCCGCUGACCGGCCCCGAGCGCCACACCGGCUUCGCAACCGUCGGGUGCGCUCGCGGCCGCCUGCUUCGAAGCCGGCCGCCGGCUCCAUCCCGCGUCGCCAGGCUCUGUCCGCGCGACCGGCUUCGCCAGCGCCUGGCGGCCGGGUCGCCGCUCCCCUCUGCUCCGCCCUGGCCACAACCCGGCUCCGGGUGCUUGGCUUGCCGUCCGGCUCCCCCGCUGGCCCGCUCGCCGCCUCACCUCCGGGCCCCGGGAGCGCCUUAG